RNAcentral lists this ribosomal RNA (253 nucleotides) under uncultured bacterium. RNAcentral describes it as "partial 16S ribosomal RNA". It matches the Rfam family "Bacterial small subunit ribosomal RNA", at positions 524 to 776 of the family's 1533-position model. The record is from RNAcentral.
UACAGAGGGGGCAAGCGUUAUUCGGAAUUAUUGGGCGUAAAGCGCGCGUAGGCGGCUUUGUAAGUUAGAGGUGAAAGCCCGGAGCUCAACUCCGGAACUGCCUUUAAGACUGCAUCGCUAGAAUUGUGGAGAGGUGAGUGGAAUUCCGAGUGUAGAGGUGAAAUUCGUAGAUAUUCGGAAGAACACCAGUGGCGAAGGCGACUCACUGGACACAUAUUGACGCUGAGGUGCGAAAGCGUGGGGAGCAAACAGG